GCCGCAGUGCUGGAAUUGGCAGACAGGCACGGUUCAGAACCGUGUGGGGCAACCCGUAGAGGUUCAAGUCCUCUCUGCGGCA
Molecule: transfer RNA, 82 nt
Filed under: Patescibacteria group bacterium
Lineage: Bacteria
Description: tRNA-Leu
Rfam family: tRNA
About the family: Transfer RNA (tRNA) molecules are approximately 80 nucleotides in length.
Source: RNAcentral